AUAUUGGGUAAUGGGGUCAACCGUGAUCCUGCCAUGCCGUGUGUGUGUAGAUGGACUUCGGAUAGUAAAGUAAUUUAAGUUGGGAGGAAGGGCUUUAGGCUAAUACCCUGAAGUUUUGACGUUACCAACAGAUUAAGCACCGUCUAACUCGGUCCCAUCAGCCGCGGUAAUACAGAGGGUGCAAGCGUUAAUCGGAAUUACUGGGCGUAAAGCGCGCGUAGGAGGUUCAGUAAGAUGGGUGGGAAAUACCCGGGCUUAACCUGCGAACUGCUUUCAUAACUGCUGAGCUAGAGUACGGUAGAGGGUAGUGGAAUUUCCUGUGUGCGGUGAAAUGCGUAGAUAUAGGAAGGAACACCAGUGGCGAAGGCGACUACCUGGACUGAUACUGACACUGAGGUGCGAAAGCGUGGGGAGCAAAC
RNAcentral lists this ribosomal RNA (419 nucleotides) under uncultured bacterium. RNAcentral describes it as "partial 16S ribosomal RNA". It matches the Rfam family "Bacterial small subunit ribosomal RNA", at positions 361 to 773 of the family's 1533-position model. The record is from RNAcentral.